RNAcentral lists this long non-coding RNA (313 nucleotides) under Hordeum vulgare. RNAcentral's name for it is "long non-coding RNA (HVUL_LNC006816)". Lineage: Eukaryota; Viridiplantae; Streptophyta; Magnoliopsida; Poales; Poaceae. The record is from RNAcentral.
GUUUUUAUUCCAUAGCAUCAUGAAUACAAUUCGAUGAAUACCAGACCCAAGUUUUAUAUAACGUAUUCAUUAGCCAAGCAUCUAACCCACACCACCAUGUACUCCCCCCUUGAUUGCAUGCAUUCAUUUACCUCCUUAGCGAUAGGGCCAUAGAUUGAACUAUCAAUAUCUUGGCUUCUUAACUUAAAAGCCGCUAUCUUUUGUGUCUGUCUCCAGGAUAAGUUUUGCCACUUUUAAUUUACGUGUAAGCUGAGAAACCCACCGACAUGCCUUGAGUUCAGCCAAUUCAGGGACCAUGGUGAAGGAGAAAAAU